Camellia sinensis is the source of this 3877-nucleotide non-coding RNA. The record is from RefSeq and is a predicted model, not a curated record. Lineage: Eukaryota; Viridiplantae; Streptophyta; Magnoliopsida; Ericales; Theaceae.
UGUGUUCUAUUUACAUAACUCUUGCUUAGGUUUCGAUUUUCAUCGACAAUCUAAGUUCUCAUAUGUUCCAUAAACGAUGGCUCGAGCUUGGUUUGGAUGAUUUGGAUUUGAUCUAGGUUUAUGCUUCUCUCGGCCAAGGGGAAGACGAUUGAGAAUAAGUUUCAGGAAGAGAAACAAUUUGAGAACUUGAGCUAUUAGAGGGAAGAGGGCAUCUACGACAGAAGGGUUAGAUUGUUAAAUUCAGUGAAAUUGAUACUGUAGAGCAGGCAGAGAAUGUUGUUGUCUCACAGGAGCAGGUUCUUGUUAGAAAAGUUAUUGAGCUGCAUGAUAAGUAUACGGAAUAUGUGAAUGAUUGUUUUGCAAACCACACUCUAUUUCACAAGGCCCUGAAAGAGGCUUUUGAGGUUUUCUGCAACAAACAAGUUUUUGGCUACUCUAGUGCAGAGCUGCUGGCUUCAUUCUGUGAUAAUAUUCUCAACAAGGGUGGGAAUGAAAAAUUAAAUGAUGAAGCCAUUGAGGACACAUUAGAUAAGGUGGCCUUCCUGUUUCUUUAAUAUCAAUUUCUGUUGCAUCUAUUGACUUGUCAUGGUAAUUUCUAACGUGUUCAUUUUAUUCCUGCAAGUAGUAAAGUUGCUUGCUUAUGUUAGUGAUAAAGACCUUUAUGCUCAAUUCUACAGGUAAGCUGUCUGCUUCCUUCAUAUGUUUCAAUUCUUUCUUGUAAAGGGAUUUUUUAGGUCCCUCCUCCUACUACUACUACUACUACUUUAUUACUAUAAAAUUUUUGUAUAUAAGAGGAAAUAACUAAACAGUGGAGUAGUGGGAUUUUGUUUCCAAAAUAAUGAUAAAGUUUAUAAAUUUUAAUUAUUAAAUUAUAAAUUUUUUCAUGUAUAAGUAACUAUUUUUGUGAAAUUUGUAAUUUUUCCUAUAUAUAAUAUGUAUAUAACUCCUCGUGUAGUGUGUGUUUACAUGUUUCCCAUGCGGGAAUUGCAAUUGAUAGUACAAAAUGGAUGAUAGUUUCAAGUUACAGAGUUCACAACUAGCCAUGAGCUAAUGUUUACCAGAAAGUCUAUUGUCCAAUAACAGUAUUAAGAAUAGAUCUAUGGUGUAGAUUCAAACUUGUUGAUGUGGAACCAUAGCAUGAAAAAAUCUUGCCAUUCAUCACAAAUAAGUCUUUUUGUCUGGGACUCUAGAACUGCUCAAUUUUUACACAUAUAUAUGAUAUAUGGUGGUGUGUGGGAGAGCCUGUGAGCCCUACUGGACUGCACACAUAUGCAACACAAACCCUACUUGUUAGUUGUUUGCAUUCAUAAUACCCAAAACUCAAUCAUGUACCGUAUUGUACCCUCUCUGACUUACUACGUACAUUUCAAGCUCAAAAAAGUUUAGAGAGAGGUAAAUUGAAUUCACACAAAAUUUUCACCCGGAUUUCUUAUUGGUAGAAGUCUGGUUUCUUACUGAUAAGAGUCUCAUUUCAGAAGAUUCAGGCAAAAAAUUUGUGUGAAUGAAUCAUUAAUAAACCUUCUCAUAUGAAGGUGGCGGGAUGGUGAGUUUAUUGCAAUUACUUUAUUGCCUCUUUUUUUUUUUUGGCGCUUUUAGUUUGUGCUUUAAUUGACAUUUCAUUGUUUUGCUAGUCAAUUACUUUAUUUGGGAAAUAUCUCUGGCAUCACAACGCAACAUCUAGAAUGGUUUCUAGGUUUGUGAUGCAGUAUCUUGUACAUCCAAUUUUAAUUGUGAUUCAAGCAAAGAAGAUUAUUUAUAGCCAAUGUGAAUAAGGUAACGCUACUCUGAAAUUACUAAAUAUAGAACAUUGACAGACCCUCUUGGUAAUCGUUGAUGGAUCAAUUCUUUGAGAUGUAUAUAUACAUGUGUGGUUUUAAUAUAAAAUUGUUCUCAACUAUCAAUUUUAGACCACAACUGCACUAGCAAAGGCUAUGAAGCCAUUUUGUUUAGUGUUUUCCCUCUUUUUCGAAGCAAAAUGUGAAACAGGAAAAGAAAAUAUGAUGAGAAACUAAUUCACUUUAGGCAUGAUUUAUUCUUUACCUUAGAGUUGAUUUGAUUCCAUUAGAUUCACUUCCAUUAAAGCACAAUUUAAUUUCUUAAAAACACAAAAAAGAAAAAAGGAAAAAUUAAAAAAAAAAUAGAAAUUAAACACCAAAUGCUAGAUGGAUCCUUUAAUUGAUUCUGUUGUUUGUCUUCUGAAUUUAUAUAAUGCUUGACUAAUGGGAUGUGGUGCAGUUCAACAUAGUUCAAUGCUACACAGAUAAAAGUUAAUUUGUUACCUAGACUUCAUCACACUUAGACAAACCACAAAUUCAAUCUAACCAAAACACUUCUAUAUACAUAUAUAGAUAUCGUUUACAUUGGUCGUGUAAUUUAUUUUAGCUGAUUCUGUUUCUCUCAUAUCUAUCAGCAACCAACUCCUUUUCUCUUUCCAUUAUUGUACCCUUUUGGUUGUUUUGUUUCGGUUCAAAACAUGAGUAAAGAAGAGUUAUUGAAGAUCCAAGUACCCUUUUAUAAAUGAUAUAUAUACUUAUAUACAUAUAUGAUCCUAGGGUAUAUAAAUUUGUCUGUAUGGGGAAUUUUGAAUUCAAUGCUUAUAUAAAUUUGUUUUUAAUGGAUAACUUCUCUUGUUUUCUAUUAAAUUUUUUUUCUUUACGAAAUUGCCAAGUCAAUUGAAUUCGAUUGAAUUUAGGAUUUGAUUUUAUACAAGUACCGUGGAUGAUUUUAUUACAUGGAUUCCAUUUGGUGACUUCGUUUGUUGUAUAAUUUAAUCCUCGUCUACAAAAUUAGGUACUAUAUUGUUUAGUUGUACACACAUGGAAGUUCUUAAUUGUGUACUUUGAUCAUAAUACUAUGUUCUGUUGCCAUUUCCAUUUUAAUUAUUCAUUGUUAUGUAACACUCUGCUUGGGUGCUGAGAACUCUAAAAGGAAAAGAGAGAGGGAAGGAAAAAGUUGACUAUUUUUUGAAUCUUCUCCAUCUCUUUUCUCUCCCUAUUUAUACACAUAUAUGUGUUGUGUAUCUGUGUUCUAAAUCCUUCUGAAAUUUAGGAAUUUAAAUGUAAAUCCUCGAUAUCAUUCAUAGAAAUUACAAUUCAUCCACCGUUUAUGAUUAAAUAAUAUUAUAUCUAUGGAGUUUGAGAGAUGAAAGGUCUAUUGUUGAACAUGGAGAAGAGAAAUGUUGCAAACCGGAGGGAGCAUCUGAUUUUACUACUUGCUAACAUCCAUAUCCGGAAAAUUCCUAAGCAAACAAAUGUGUUGCAGGUACGUAUGGCAUUCCAUACUUAAGCCUUUUUUUUUUUUUUAUAAUGAUUUGCUCUUAAAUUUGAAAUUUGAAUUCAUUUAUGGUGUUAGUUGGGAGAUGAAGUUAUCCAUGAACUGAUGCAGAAGUCUUUUAAGCCAAUUGUCUUGUUUUUAAUUUUUUUUUUUGUUUAUUUCUGUGCAUUUGUUCAUGUAGUGUCAAUAAGUUUAAAAGAUGCAAGAAGGCAUAUUAUUUGACAACAUUGUGAAGGAUUCAUUUCUAAAUAUUUGUCUCUCGCAUCGUUCAGGAAUAGACCGAAUUCAAACCAUGACAUUUAACAAAAUUUUGUUCAACAACGUUUACAACAUGCAUGUUCAGCUUACUAUAAUUUCUUGAUAAUGUCUAAUAAUGUUUUUAUUAUAUCCAAAAAACUUAUUUUGUUUUAAGUGCAGGCAUUGGGAGUACCACCUUAGCAGCCAUGGUGGAAAGUGAACUAAUAUUAUGUAGUAUGUCAUGAUCAGCUCAUGUUUGUAAAUAUUUUUAAUUUUUUGUUAUGUCAUAAAUUUUCAUUGGUCAAAUUUGUAUUUUUGUAAAAAUAUUUAUGGCUUAAUUGGUUCCAAUUUAUUUUGAAUGUUAAAG